RNAcentral lists this long non-coding RNA (345 nucleotides) under Aquila chrysaetos chrysaetos. RNAcentral's name for it is "lncRNA (ENSACCG00020003612.1)". The record is from RNAcentral. Lineage: Eukaryota; Metazoa; Chordata; Aves; Accipitriformes; Accipitridae.
AAAGGAUGCUAGGUUAGACACAAGACAGUCACAGUGUCGAGUCUGCUGAAUAUAAGGUGAAAAAGCUGACAGAAAAGGUCACUGGGUUCACCAGAUUCCUUUCACAUUUGCUUAUGGCAUGAUCUCCAGAAUUACAGAGAAAUUCCCAGCCUCCUGCUGUGGGUUCCGGUCAGAUAGCAUGGGCCAAUGACCGCAGAAGAGCAAUGUUAACCAGAACUUAACCUGACCUGUCUUUGUGAAUAGAACUGAUCCCAUCUCACAUCACCGGGGCACAAGAAAGGUAAGUGCAGACACUAUUUCCAUGUCACUAAUGUGUGUCACGUAUUCUUGCACAGUUGCACAAGG